RNAcentral lists this long non-coding RNA (8420 nucleotides) under Vitis vinifera (wine grape). RNAcentral's name for it is "long non-coding RNA (VVIN_LNC004988)". Lineage: Eukaryota; Viridiplantae; Streptophyta; Magnoliopsida; Vitales; Vitaceae. The record is from RNAcentral.
CCACACAUAAAACCCACAACCAAACACAGAAAUCAAAAUAAUCAAAAUAAAUUCUAUAACGCAUACAUAAAGUAAAAAAAUAAUACCCAAACAUAACAAACAUAACGAGCGAUGUGAUAUGGGAGAAUUCGAAUGAAACUUACCAAAAAAGUAUUUCUUCAUACACUUCACCUGCUCCCGAAUAACCUGAAAAAAUGAAGUGAUACGGUUAUAAAUUGUGGGCUAAGAAACCGAGAUUAAAUGAAAAGACGAGAAAAGGAAAAUAACAUUCCAUGGAAAAAUGCUACCAAAAGGAAAUCAAGUUCUUCUCACCUAAAAUCAAAGAAAUCACAAACAAAAAACAAAACACAAAUGCGCACAAAAAAUAACACAAAUCAACAAAUAAUACCAACUCGUAACAGAGAUAAUGAAAAUUGCAAUAUAGCAGACAAAAGGGAAUACGAAGUAAACUUAGAUAAGAAGUACUUCCUCAAAAACUUCUCUUGCCUCCGAGAAACCUGAAAAAUCAAGUGAUAUGCUUAGAAAUGCUUGCCAAAGAAGCCGAGAUCACAUGAAAACACCAGAAAUGGAAAUUACACUAUUCUCACCCACAAAAAAAGAAAUGAGAAAUAAAAAAUGAAACGUAUAGCGCACAAACGAAAACAUAAUGAACAAAUUCGAAAUGAAUUGAAUAAUGCAUAGAUCAAGUCAACAAAUCAUACCCAAACAUAACAGAUAUAUUGAACAAUGCGAUAUAUGAAAGAACAGAGAAUACGAAGAAAACUUAUCUAAGAAGACUUUCCUCACACCCUUCUCCUGCUCCCGAGAAUCCUGAAAAAUCCACUUAUAUGCUUAUUAAUGGUUGGACAAGACACUGAGAUCCGAUGAAAAGACGAGAAAAUAAAAAUUACAUCCCAUGGAAAAACACAGUUCAAAGGAAAUCAAAUACUUCUCACAAACAAUCAAAUAAAAAACAAAUAAAAAGCCACACAUAAAACCGACAACCAAACAAAGAAAUUAAAAUAUUCUAAAUAAAUUCUAUAACGCAUAUAUAAAGUAAAAAAAUAAUACCCAAACAUAACAGACAUAACGAAUGAUGUGAUAUGGGAGAUAUCUAAUGAAACUUACCAAAAAAGUACUUCUUCAUACACUUCACCUGCUCUCGAAUAACCUGAAAAAAUGAAGUUAUACGGUUAUAAAUUGUGGGCUAAUAAACAGACAUUAAAUGAAAAGACGAGAAAAGGAAACUAACAUUCCAUGGAAAUAUGCUUCAAAAAGGAAAUCAAGAACUUCUCACCCAAAAUCAAAGAAAUCACAAACAACAAACAAAACACAAAUGCGCACAAAAAAUAACACAAAUGAACAAAUAAUACCAACACAUAACAGAGAUAAUGAAAAUUGCAAUAUAGCAGACAAAAAGGAAUACGAAGUAAACUUAGAUAAGAAGUACUUCCUCAUAAACUUCUCUUGCUUCCGAGAAACCUGAAAAAUCCAGGGAUAUGCUUAGAAAUGCUUGCCAAAGAAGCCGAGAUCACAUGAAAAGACCAGAAACGGAAAUUACACUAUUCUCACCCACAAAGAAACAAAUGAGAAAUAAAAAAUGAAACGUGAAGCGCACAAACCAAAAUAUAAUGAACAUAUUCGAAAUGAAUUCAAUAAUGCAUAGAUCAAGUCAACAAAUCAUACCCAGACAUAACAGAUAUAUUGACCAAUGCGAUAUAUGAAAGAACAGGGAAUACGAAGAAAACUUAUCUAAGAAGACAUUCCUCACACACUUCUCCUGUUUCGAGAAUCCUGAAAAAUCACCUUAUAUACUUAUUAAUGGUGGGCCAAGACACCGGGAUCAGAUGAAAAGACGAGAAAAUAAAAAUAACAUCCCAAGGAAAAACACAGUUCAAAGAAAAUCUAAUACUUCACACAAACAAUCAAAUAAAUGACAAAUAAAAAGUCACACAUAAAACCCACAACCAAACACAGAAAUCAAAAUAUUCUAAAUAAAUUCUAUAACGCAUACAAAAAGUCAAAAAAUAAUACCCAAACAUAACAAACAUAACGAGCGAUGUGAGAUGGGAGAAUUCGAAUGAAACUUACAAAAAAAGUAUUUCUUCAUACACUUCACCUGCUCCCGAAUAACCUGAAAAAAAUGAAGUUAUACGGUUAUAAAUUGUGGGCUUAAAACCGACAUUAAAUGAAAAGACGAGAAAAGGAAACUAACAUUCCAUGGAAAAAUGCUACAAAAAGGAAAUCAAGAACUUCUCACCCAAAAUCAAAGAAAUCACAAACAACAAACAAAACACAAAUGCACACAAAAAAUAACACAAAUGAACAAAUAAUACCAACACAUAACAGAGAUAAUGAAAAUUGCGAUAUAGCAGACAAAAGGGAAUACGAAGUAAACUUAGAUAAGAAGUACUUCCUCAUAAACUUCUCUUGCUUUCGAGUAACCUGAAAAAUCCAGUGAUAUGCUUAGAAAUGAUUGCCAAAGAAGCCGAGAUCACAAGAAAAGACCAGAAAUGGAAAUUACACUAUUCUCACCCACAAAGAAAGAAAUCAGAAAUAAAAAAUGAAACGCAAAGCACACAAACCAAAACAUAAUGAACAUAUUCGAACUUAAUUCAAUAAUGCAUAGAUCAAGUCAACAAAUCAUACCCAAACAUAACAGAUAUAUUGAACAAUGCGAUAUAUGAAAGAACAGGGAAUACGAAGAAAACUUAUGUAAGAGGACUUUCCUCACACACUUCUCCUGCUCCCGAGAAUCCUGAAAAAUCCACUUAUAUGCUUAUUAAUGGUGGGACAAGUAACAGAGAUCAGAUGAAAAGACGAGAAAAUCAAAAUAACAUCCCAUGGAAAAACCCAGUUCAAAGGAAAUCUAAUACUUCAAACAAACAAUCAAAUAAAUGACAAAUAAAAAGCCACACAUAAAACCCACAACCAAACACAGAAAUCAAAAUAUUCUAAAUAAAUUCUAUAACGCAUACAUAAAGUCAAAAAAUAAUACCCAAACAUAACAAACAUAACGAGCGAUGUGACAUGGGAGAAUUCGAAUGAAACUUACCAAAAAAGUAUUUCUUCAUACACUUCACCUGCUCCCGAAUAACCUGAAAAAAUGAAGUUAUACGGAUAUAAAUUGUGGGCAUAGAAACCGACAUUAAAUCAAAAGACGAAAAAAGGAAACUAACAUUCCAUGGAAAAAUGCUCCAAAAAGGAAAUUAAGAACUUCUCACCCAAAAUCAAAGAAAUCACAAACAACAAACAAAACACAAAUGUGCACAAAAAAUAACACAAAUCAACAAAUAAUACCAACACAUAACAGAGAUAAUGAAAAUUGCGAUAUAGCAGACAAAAGGGAAUACGAAGUAAACCUAGAUAAGAAGUACUUCCUCAUAAACUUCUCUUGCUUCCGAGAAACAUGAAAAGUCCAGUGAUUUGCUUAGAAAUGCUUGCCAAAGAAGCCGAGAUCACAAGAAAAGACCAGAAAUUGAAAUUACACUAUUCUCACCCACAAAGAAAGAAAUGAGAAAUAAAAAAUAAAACGCAAAGCACACAAACCAAAACAUAAUGAACAUAUUCGAACUUAAUUCAAUAAUGCUUAGAUCAAGUCAACAAAUCAUACCCAAACAUAACAGAUAUAUUGAACAAUGCGAUAUAUGAAAGAACAGGGAAUACGAAGAAAACUUAUGUAAGAAGACUUUCCUCACACACUUCUCUUGCUCCCGAGAAUCCUGAAAAAUCCACUUAUACGCUUAUUAAUGGUAGGACAAGACACCGAGAUCAGAUGAAAAGACGAGAAAAUCAAAAUAACCUCCCAUGGAAAAACCCAGUUCAAAGGAAAUCUAAUACUUCAAACAAACAAUCAAAUAAAUGACAAAUAAAAAGCCACACAUAAAACCCACAACCAAACACAGAAAUCAAAAUAUUUUGAAUAGAUUCGAUAACGCAUACAUAAAAUAAAAAAAUAAUACCCAAACAUAACAAACAUAACGAGCGAUGUGAGAUGGGAGAAUUCGAAUGAUACUUACAAAAAAAGUAUUUCUUCAUACACUUCACCUGCUCCCGAAUAACCUGAAAAAAAUGAAGUUAUACGGUUAUAAAUUGUGGGCUUAAAACCGACAUUAAAUGAAAAGACGAGAAAAGGAAACUAACAUUCCAUGGAAAAAUGCUACAAAAAGGAAAUCAAGAACUUCUCACCCAAAAUCAAAGAAAUCACAAACAACAAACAAAACACAAAUGCGCACAAAAAAUAACACAAAUGAACAAAUAAUACCAACACAUAACAGAGAUAAUGAAAAUUGCGAUAUAGCAGACAAAAGGGAAUACGAAGUAAACUUAGAUAAGAAGUACUUCCUCAUAAACUUCUCUUGCUUUCGAGUAACCUGAAAAAUCCAGUGAUAUGCUUAGAAAUGAUUGCCAAAGAAGCCGAGAUCACAAGAAAAGACCAGAAAUGGAAAUUACACUAUUCUCACCCACAAAGAAAGAAAUCAGAAAUAAAAAAUGAAACGCAAAGCACACAAACCAAAACAUAAUGAACAUAUUCGAACUUAAUUCAAUAAUGCAUAGAUCAAGUCAACAAAUCAUACCCAAACAUAACAGAUAUAUUGAACAAUGCGAUAUAUGAAAGAACAGGGAAUACGAAGAAAACUUAUGUAAGAAGACUUUCCUCACACACUUCUCCUGCUCCCGAGAAUCCUGAAAAAUCCCCUUAUAUGCUUAUUAAUGGUGGGACAAGUAACAGAGAUCAGAUGAAAAGACGAGAAAAUCAAAAUAACAUCCCAUGGAAAAACCCAGUUCAAAGGAAAUCUAAUACUUCAAACAAACAAUCAAAUGAAUGACAAAUAAAAAGCCACACAUAAAACCCACAACCAAACACAGAAAUCAAAAUAUUCUAAAUAAAUUAUAUAACGUAUGCAAAAAGUCAAAAAAUAAUACCCAAACAUAACAGAUAUAUUGAACAAUGCGAUAUAUGAAAGAAGAGGGAAUACGAAGAAAACUUAUGUAAGAAGACUUUCCUCACACACUUCUCCUGCUCCCGAGAAUCCUGAAAAAUCCACUUAUAUGCAUAUUAAUGGUUGGACAAGACACAGAGAUUAGAUGAAAAGACGAGAAAACAAAAAUAACAACCCAAGGAAAAACACAGUUCAAAGGAAAUCUAAUACUUCACACAAACAUUAAAAUAAAUGACAAAUAAAAAGCCACACAUAAAACCCACCACCAAACACAGAAAUCAAAAUAUUCUAAAUAAAUUACAUAACGUAUACAUAAAGUCAAAAAAUAAUACCCAAUCAGAACAAACAUAAGGACCGAUGUGAUAUGGGUGAAUUCGAAUGAAACUUACCAAAAAAAUAUUUCUUCAUACACUUCACCUGCUCCCGAAUAACCUGAAAAAAUGAAGUUAUACAGUUAUAAAUUGUGGGCUAAGAAACCGACAUUAAAUGAAAAGACGAGAAAAGGAAACUAACAUUCCAUGGAAAAAUGCUACAAAAAGGAAAUCAAGAACUUCUCACCCAAAAUUAAAGAAAUCACAAACAACAAACAAAACACAAAUGCGCACAAAAAAUAACACAAAUCAGCAAAUAAUACCAACAAAUAACAGAGAUAAUGAAAAUUGCGAUAUAGUAGAAAGAAGGGAAUACGAAGUAAACUUAGAUAAGAAGUACUUCCUCAUAAAUUUCUCUUGCUUCCGAGAAACCUGAAAAAUCCAGUGAUAUGCUUAGAAAUGAUUGCCAAAGAAGCCGAGAUCACAAGAAAAGACCACAAAUCGAAAUUACACUAUUCUCACCCACAAAGAAAGAAAUGAGAAAUAAAAAAUAAAACGCAAAGUACACAAACCAAAACAUAAUGAACAUAUUCGAACUUAAUUCAAUAAUGCAUAGAUCAAGUCAACAAAUCAUACCCAAACAUAAUGGAUAUAUUGAACAAUGCGAUAUAUGAAAGAACAGGGAAUACGAAGAAAACUUAUCUAAGAAGACUUUCCUCACACUCUUCUGCUGCUCCCGAGAAUCCUGAAAAAUCCACUUAUAUGCUUAUUAAUGGUUGGACAAGACACGGAGAUCAGAUGAAAAUACGAGAAAAUAAAAAUAGCAUCCCAAGGAAAAACACAGUUCAAAGGAAAUCUAAUACUUCACACAAACAAUCAAAUAAAUGAAAAAUAAAAACCAACACAUAAAACCCACAACCAAACACAGAAAUCAAAAUAUUCUAAAUAAAUUCUAUAACGCAUACAUAAAGUCAAGAAGUAAUACCCAAACAUAACAAACAUAACGAGCGAUGUCAUAUGGGAGAAUUCGAAUGAAACUUACCAAAAAAGUAUUUCUUCAUACACUUCACCAGCUCCCGAAUAACAUGGAAAAAUGAAGUUAUACGGUUCUAAAUUGUGGUCUUAGAAACCGACAUUAAAUGAAAAGACGAGAAAAGGAAACUAACAUUCCACGGAAAAAUGCUACAAAAAGAAAAUCAACAACUUCUCAACCCAUAAUGAAAGAAAUCACAAACAACAAACAAAACACAAAUGCGCACAAAAAAUAACACAAAUAAACAAAUAAUACCAACACAUAACAGAGAUAAUGAAAAUUGCGAUACAGCAGACAAAAGGGAAUACGAAGUAAACUUAGAUAAGAAGUACUUCCUCAUAAACUUCUCCUGCUUCCGAGAAACCUGAAAAAUCCAGUCAUAUGCUUAGAAAUGAUUGCCAAAGAAGCCGAGAUCACAACAAAAGACCAGAAAUGGAAAUUACACUAUUCUCACCCACAAAGAAAGAACUGAGAAAUAAAAAAUGAAACGCAAAGCACACAAACCAAAACAUAAUGAACAUAUUCGAACUUAAUUCACUAAUGCAUAGAUCAAGUCAACAAAUCAAACCCAAACAUAACAGAUAUAUUGAACAAUGCGAUAUAUGAAAGAACAGGGAAUACGAAGAAAACUUAUGUAAGAAGACUUUCCUCACACACUUCUCCUGCUCCCGAGAAUCCUGAAAAAUCCACUUAUAUGCAUAUUAAUGGUUGGACAAGACACAGAGAUUAGAUGAAAAGAUGAGAAAACAAAAAUAACAACCCAAGGAAAAACACAGUUCAAAGGAAAUCUAAUACUUCACACAAACAUUAAAAUAAAUGACAAAUAAAAAGCCACACAUAAAACCCACCACCAAACACAGAAAUCAAAAUAUUCUAAAUAAAUUAUAUAACGUAUACAUAAAGUCAAAAAAUAAUACCCAAUAAGAACAAACAUAAGGACCGAUGUGAUAUGGGUGAAUUCGAAUGAAACUUACCAAAAAAAUAUUUCUUCAUACACUUCACCUGCUCCCGAAUAACCUGAAAAAAUGAAGUUAUACAGUUAUAAAUUGUGGGCUAAGAAACCGACAUUAAAUGAAAAGACGAGAAAAGGAAACUAACAUUCCACGGAAAAAUGCUACAAAAAGGAAAUCAAGAACUUCUCACCCAAAAUUAAAGAAAUCACAAACAACAAAGAAAACACAAAUGCGCACAAAAAAUAACACAAAUGAGCAAAUAAUACCAACACAUAACAGAGAUAAUGAAAAUUGCGAUAUAGUAGAAAGAAGGGAAUACGAAGUAAACUUAGAUAAGAAGUACUUCCUCAUAAAUUUCUCUUGCUUCCGAGAAACCUGAAAAAUCCAGUGAUAUGCUUAGAAAUGAUUGCCAAAGAAGCCGAGAUCACAAGAAAAUACCAGAAAUGGAAAUUACACUAUUCUCACCCACAAAGAAAGAAAUGAGAAAUAAAAAAUAAAACGCAAAGCACACAAACCAAAACAUAAUGAACAUAUUCGAACUUAAUUCAAUAAUGCAUAGAUCAAGUCAACAAAUCAUACCCAAACAUAACAGAUAUAUUGAACAAUGCGAUAUAUGAAAGAACAGGGAAUACGAAGAAAACUUAUCUAAGAGGACUUUCCUCACACUCUUCUCCUGCUCCUGAGAAUCCUGAAAAAUCCACUUAUAUGCUUAUUAAUGGUUGGACAAGACACGGAUAUCAGAUGAAAAGACGAGAAAAUAAAAAUAGCAUCCCAAGGAAAAACACAGUUCAAAGGAAAUCUAAUACUUCACACAAACAAUCAAAUAAAUGACAAAUAAAAAGCCACACAUAAAACCCACAACCAAACACAGAAAUCAAAAUAUUCUAAAUAAAUUAUAUAUCGUAUGCAUAAAGUCAAAAAAUAAUACCCAAACAUAACAAACAUAACGAGCGAUGUGAUUUGGGAGAAUUCGAAUGAAACUUACCAAAAAAGUAUUUCUUCAUACACUUCACCUGCUCCCGAAUAACCUGAAAAAAUGAAGUUAUACGGUUAUAAAUUGUGGGCUUAGAAACCGACAUGAAAUGAAAAGACGAGAAAAGGAAACUAACCUUCCACGGAAAAAUGCUACAAAAAGGAAAUCAACAACUUCUCACCCAUAAUCAAAGAAAUCACAAACAACAAACAAAACACAAAUCCGCAC